GAAGAUAAGCAACUUCCUUAAAGGAUGCAGCAGACUGAAGCAAUUCAGACAUCCCGCAACCAUGUAAAUGGUCCAGGCCAAGUCCGGUAAUGGCGCUUCUGAAUACCAGGUUAGUUACCCUGGCGAAACCCACCUUAAGGUGGGUUUU
This 148-nucleotide small RNA is filed under the name Enterobacter cloacae. RNAcentral describes it as "sroH RNA". It matches the Rfam family "sroH RNA". From Rfam's summary of the family: This family consists of a number of bacterial sroH RNA genes of around 160 bases in length. The record is from RNAcentral. Lineage: Bacteria; Pseudomonadati; Pseudomonadota; Gammaproteobacteria; Enterobacterales; Enterobacteriaceae.